AUGAACGCUGGCGGUGUGCCUUAGGCAUGCAAGUCGAGCGAAUAUAAUCCGCAAGGAUUGUAUUAGCGGCGGACGGGUGAGUAAUAGUAAGGAAUCUACCUUUUAGUGGGGCAUAGCUUUCCGAAAGGAAAGAUAAUUCCCCAUAUGUCCCGAUUUAUCGGGAUGAAAGAGCGUAACUGCUCGCUAAGAGAUGAGCCUUAUUCCUAUCAGCUUGUUGGUGGGGUAAUGGCCUACCAAGGCAAUGACGGGUAGCUGGACUGAGAGGUCGGUCAGCCACAAUAGCACUGAGACACGGGCUAUACACCUACGGGUGGCAGCAACCAGGAAUAUUGGGCAAUGGACGAAAGUCUGACCCAGCGACACCGCGUGGAGGAUGAAGGCUUUAGGGUUGUAAACUCCUUUUAUUUUGUCACAUGACAAGAUGAAUAAGUCCCCGCAAACUACGU
This 446-nucleotide ribosomal RNA is filed under the name uncultured bacterium. RNAcentral describes it as "bacterial SSU rRNA". It matches the Rfam family "Bacterial small subunit ribosomal RNA", at positions 29 to 506 of the family's 1533-position model. The record is from RNAcentral.